Molecule: ribosomal RNA, 100 nt
Filed under: Salmonella enterica subsp. enterica serovar Worthington str. BCH-3008
Lineage: Bacteria; Pseudomonadati; Pseudomonadota; Gammaproteobacteria; Enterobacterales; Enterobacteriaceae
Description: partial 23S ribosomal RNA
Source: RNAcentral
UUSAAGACGACGACGUUGAUAGGCCGGGUGUGUAAGCGCAGCGAUGCGUUGAGCUAACCGGUACUAAUGAACCGUGAGGCUUAACCUUACAACGCCGAAG